Molecule: long non-coding RNA, 1659 nt
Filed under: Marmota monax (woodchuck)
Lineage: Eukaryota; Metazoa; Chordata; Mammalia; Rodentia; Sciuridae
Source: RNAcentral
GGAAGAUGUGCAUAGGGCAAAGCAUGUAGAAAGGGGCAUGGAGCUUCCAUGCCCUCUCUUAGCUUACUACCCUCUAGGAAUCACCAUAGGCUAAGCUAUCUAGAACUGUCUUAUUUGACUUUUGUGGAGCCUUAAUUACAUACACAUGACUGAUGAAAUCAUGGACCUUAAGUGUUCAAUUUAAUCUUGAGCCUCUCUCCCUUACCCAGAGGUGCAAGGGGUGUGGAACAGAAAGUUUCUACUCUCUAAUCAGGCCUUGUUUUUUUUCUGGGGACCAGUCUUCAAUCUGAAGCUAUCCAUAGAUUGCCAACCAUCAGUCAGCUCACUAGUAUACAAAACAAACAAACAAACAAACAAGAAUCUUAAUACUUUGAAGAUUCCAUGGAGUUGUAUUAGCAUGCUAGAUGAAACCAAAUACAUAGUCCACAAUAUUGUACCUUUGAUUUUUAUGAUUUGGAUACUUCCCUCCCUCACUUUGUAUUCCCUGGCUUGCCUAAUCCAAUGUCUUGAACAUACUGAAUAUAUGUUUAUGAUAGAAAUAUUUAGUUGAAUGGUUCUCAACAAUUUUAGUUCAGAGCCCCUAUUUAAAAACCAACCCAGUUGUUCCACAUUUCCCAGACACUGGAAGCUCUCCUCUCCCUCCUCAUCUCCACCACUUCUCAAGCCACGAAGCCUUUGUUAACAACUUCUGAUUUACUGCAGACUCAGAAUAACAUGGCAAAGCUGAAGCCCACAGAGGGCAAACACCUCAUCCCAAGCUAAUGUAAAAGGUAGGACUGAUGCAAUAUCCAGGCCAGAGGUUUUUCUAUGUGGAUGAUUUAAUCAUGAUCAUAAGCAUGCACUCCUGGUAUCUACAAAUGGGGAGACAAACAAGGAAACGUCAUUCACUCCAGCCAAUGACCAGUACACUUGGGAGUGUUGCUGGUGUUGACAGGGCUAAGUACCACUCUGCUUUACAACAGAGAAGUAGGAAAUUGAUUACAACCCCAAAACUUUCAUUAUUUCUGCAUCUCUAUUUCAGUCAAAGUUUUUGGAAAUCAAGAGGAUAAUGACCCCAGAGAACCUUUAUUUUCUUCAGAAGACUUUGAAGAUCAAACACCGGCCUAGCUGGAUUUUUAUCCUGUAGAAGGUGUGAGGCAGUCAUUAAUCUCAGAGUUGUAGAGUGGAGAAACUUGUAUGCUUUUAUGUCUUAGGUACUAACUUAUGUUCACUUACUUUGGAGGUGACUGUGGAACUCUGAAUGCCUAGUUUCUCCAUAUAAAUGUGAUAAAGGUCAGUUCUCUAGAAGCAAUCACAUUUCAAGAUGCACUGAGUCUUUCAGGUGAACAAGCCUCAUAGAUCCACUUAAAGAUAAAUGCUCCUUCUCCUGUCUCAAAGGUUAGAGAAGGCCACGCUGUACUCUGCUGUUUUUCAGCCAGUGGCAAGAUUGAAUUCACCCUUCUUCCUUAAGAUGACAUAUCAGAUGGCCCCUGAUUCCAGCCAUCGCCAGUGCAAAACAGAGACAAAAUUGUACUUGUAUCCCUUUCCUGCCUUUGACCUGAAGACUCAGAAAACGUUUUUUUUUUCCCUAUGUACUUCAAACAGUCUUCCAAAACAUUACCAAACUCAGAUUUGAUAAAAACAGGGUGGUUUUGUAACAACUUAUAUCUUGGUUUUAAC